UUUAUUGUUUAUGUAUGUUAUGUUUCUUAUUUCUCAUUUGAAUUUGACUUCUAAACGCUGAGCUAGGGUUUAGAGCUUUUGUAUGUUUUGAAUACGAUUUUUCUUUUGAAUUUACCUUCAGUAAUAGUGAGUUAGGAUUUAUUGUUCUUGUGAUCCUUGGGUUAAUGUGUUAGUAUGCUGGAAAUUGAGAUAUUUGUGGCAUUGGGCACAUAUAAACUUUUUAUUCAUUGAGUUGAGCUUUGAGAGUUUUAGCAUAGUAGAUAUUAGUUUACAAAGCUAAUAUCAGGAUAGACUUUUAGCAUGUUUGGUUUUGCGGUGGAAAGCUCGUAGAGGUGCGUAUGUCCAGAAGCUAAGAAUUCUAGCUUCUUAAAAUCAUGUGGAAAUCACAUUGGAACACGCAUUGAAGGGUUGUCGUGGUUUUUUGAUUAUGAUGGUGAAGUAUAUUAUUAAUGAUGUGCUUAGCAGUUUUCCGCGCAUGUAUCAGCUCGCCGAAGGUGGUACAGCUGUAGGAACUGGAUUGAAUACUGUUCUUGGCGUCUAUCAUCACGUGCAGAAAAACAUUGGCUUGUAAUGUGCUCAUAUUCUCCUUUUGCAGGCUGCCCGUGAUGCUUUUGUUGAAACUAGUAGAGUCCUCAACACAAUUGCAGCUUCUUUAAUGAAGAUUGCUAAUGAUACUUUGUUAGUGUUUAUAAAGACUGAUGGAAUUCAAAUGCAAUUAAGUCUAAUGAAACUCUUAAUUUGUGCUGUCUAUUUUUUCGCAGUUAUAUGAAGGCAUUAAGAGACGGUUGGAAGAGCCAAUUUCAGUGGGUGUGGACGAUCAACAGACUUUGAUGCUGCAGCCAGUGCAGAAAAAUCUCUUGAGACAUGCUCACUUGUAGAGCAUAUAUUACAUUUGGAACCAACCGAGGGGGAAGAUAUUAGUGUAUGUGUUUGUUUAGCAAGUUUGAUGUCAUUAUUUGAUGAAAAAGGAGACAAAGCAGGAUCCACCUACAUUGAGUUGAAAAAUUGUCAUUUGAAGGAUUUGCGAAUUUUGUAAAGGAGAUGUUGUUGCUAUUACCAAUGCAUUAGAACGAUAUCAGGAAUUGGAUCCAAGUUUUCUGGAAGGCGUGAAUAUAGACUUUUGGCAGAUGUUGCUGCUGCAAUUGAUGAAGAAGACGUUGGAAAGUUCAAUGAAGUUGUGAAGGAGUUUGAUGACAUGAUUCCUUUUGAUUCUUGGAAAACAAAACUUAAUCUGAGGGAACUUGAGGAGGAUGAUCUGACUUGAAUUGUAUCUUAGUUUUGUGAUGGUUGCGCUUCAGGUUUGAUUGUCUAAAUGGGAACUCUAAAAGCAUUCGGGUUUGUUCAUGUAGAUGCCUACUACAAUUGAGGAGUUGGAAGCAGCAAUCUUAUUUGUCAAUCGUAACAUAUUGGAACAAUAUAGAAGAUCUUGCAAAAAAAACUCAAUGCAAACAAGAAGGAAUCUAGAAAGUGUCUAGCUGAAUUGGAUGAUAUUAAGGGAAAAUGGCUUCCAACACUCAGAUAAAUGAAACUUUUGGUCGAAAUUUUCAACAGAUAGCUGUUGUCGGAGGGGUUUCACUAGAUGAGCAUGAUAUGGACUUUUGAUCAAUUUGGAAUUUAUAUAACAGGUGACGGUUGUUCUGAACCAGUUAUUUUGUUUAUUCCUUUUAUAAGAAUGUGCUUUCAUAGCGUCACUACUCUUUCUUAUUAUUGGUUGAUGUAACUUCUGGUUACCAGUCAACUUCAAUGUUAAGAGGGAAACCCAACCUACACAAUUACACAGUUGUUGAUUCUAAUCAUGAUUUAGGUCACUUCUAUGGUAAAAAAACCAAUUUUUUUAUUUUAUCAGAGAAAAUGAACUGCUUGAAGUUUUCAGUGCUCAUCACAAGUCUGGAGGGGUACUACUACAUGGAUUAUUUUCUUAUUAGUGCAUUUGUGCUCGCCCCACUCACUAAUUAACCUUAAAUAUUGGUUUUUCCAGGACUUUCAACCAUUGUUUAUCUUGUUUCCCUUCAAGAUCUUACGAACUCUCCAUUUAGAGUUGUUGAUGAGAUCAACCAAGAUGUUUGAGCAAUUAGUGAGAGCGUCAAGCAAGCCAAAUACACCAUAGUGAGUACCAACUAAUGUGCUCAGUUCCCCCAUAACGCGAGAGUGACCAUUAAUCUUAUGUAGGUGUUUCUUACUUACUCCAAAGUUGUUACCAGAUCUGCAAUAUAGCUGAGGCAUGCCAUAUAUUGAAUGUAAUGAAUGGUCCUUGUAUUGAGCAACCUUUAAAGGUCUGGACUACGGGUGAUCCAUGGAGUAUUAUCACCGGGCAUGUUGGAGAGAUCAUGUGUCAAAUCCCAUGGAGUUGCAAUGGGAAUUCAUAGCAUUUGUUUAGCAUUUUGUAUAGUUUUUUGGACAAAAAAAACAAAGUUUGCAUGGGAGGGAACUUGUUUUUUUCCCUUCAUUAAUUAUAUUGGAUAUACAUAACAACAUAAACAUACAUUUUUUUUGUUACUGUAGUAUUGAGGAUUAAUAAAUAUUUCUUCUAUUGCUUGUACAACGGUAAGGUUUUAAUGCAUCUUAUUUAAUUUUGUAUUUA
This is a long non-coding RNA of Lathyrus oleraceus (garden pea), 2581 nucleotides long. RefSeq lists it as uncharacterized. The transcript has 13 exons. The record is from RefSeq and is a predicted model, not a curated record. Lineage: Eukaryota; Viridiplantae; Streptophyta; Magnoliopsida; Fabales; Fabaceae.